Molecule: RNA transcript, 1957 nt
Organism: Pieris brassicae (large cabbage white)
Lineage: Eukaryota; Metazoa; Arthropoda; Insecta; Lepidoptera; Pieridae
Gene name: integrin beta pat-3-like
Exons: 7
Source: RefSeq, a predicted model, not a curated record
CAAAUCACUAUUGCUUUAUUGUGCAAUGAAGAUUAUACUACUAAUAUUCUGUGUUUUCUAUGCAAUUAAAUGCUCUUAUUCAUGUGAAAAGCAUUUAACUUGCGAAGGGUGUAUCAGAGACGCUAAUCAGUGUAUUUGGUGUGCUUUGGACAAUUAUAAUGGACCUCGAUGUAUGACUGCAGAAAAAUAUAUAGACUCCAAGGAUUGGUGUAUUGGCAACACAAUAAAUCCGAAUAGUACCAUGGAAAUUGGACAAAAUAAAAAAUUUUCUUCAGAGGCUGGUCAUGUUAUUCAGAUAAAACCACAAAGCGUUAAAAUCAAGCUUAGACCAGGUCAACAAGAAAAUUUUGAAUUUUCAUUUAAAAAUGCCGAUAACUACCCUGUAGAUUUGUAUUUUCUUAUGGACGGAUCAACAACUAUGAAAGCUAUGAAAGAUCAAACACGAGACAAAAGUGAAAACAUUUAUAAAACUAUGAAGAGCAUGUCAACUAACGUUCUAAUAGGAAUGGGAACUUUCGUGGAUAAAAACACUCUACCAUACACAACAUUAAUAAACAGUAGUUUAGCGUACUCAUUUAGACAUCGCUUGAAGCUGACGCAUGACUUUAAAGAAUUUCAAAAUGUAGUAAAUAGUACAGAGUUCGGUUUAAACUAUGAUACCCAAGAAGGAACAUUAGAUGCGCUUGCACAAGUAAUGGUGUGUAAUGAUUUAGUUGGCUGGAGAAAAGAGUCGAGAAAAAUAAUCAUAGUUUUAACAGACAGUACCUUUCACGCAGCAGGUGAUGGUGGUUUUGGAGGAAUUUCCCAACCUUUUGACGGAAAAUGUCACAGCGACAGUGGUUAUUAUUCUAAAGAAUUAGAACUAGAUUAUCCAUCUAUAAGUAUUAUAAAUAAACUAGCAGCUGAUGAGGAGAUUUCUGUUAUAUUUGCUGUUAAUAACGACAAUAAAAAUAUUUACAAAACUUUAACUGAAGGCGUGUCAGGAUCCAAAUGCGUAAGUUUUGAGCAACCGAACGUUGAAGAUGGUAUGCCGACCAUUCUAAAAAGUAUUUAUAAGGACAUAACGAGCCAAUUGAAAUUAAGAGUCAACAUGAAUUCAGAAUACCGGGACUAUUUUAAUAUAUCUUUCAAUCCGGAUUGCAUUUCAAGAACCACCAAUUCACCACCGUGUAAAAUGAGACCGGGAGGAGAGAAAAAGAUAAAAGCUACUAUAAAACUGUUAAAGUAUUUCCCUGAUAAAAAUAUCAGCAUAGGUUUGGUAAAUGAAGGGAUCAGGGAAGAACUGACAAUAAACGUUGAAAUGAUUGAGUCAUGUGGUUGUAAACGCGAAGAAAACUCAAGCUUGUGUUCGUCUAGCGGUACUAAGAGAUGCGGAAUAUGCGAAUGUAACGAGGGCAGUACUGGGGAUAUCUGUCAGUGCAAAGGCAAUAUCGUCAGUUUGGGAAUGGACACUUGCCGUCAACCGGGCUCUAACAAAGUUUUGUAACGGAUUAGAUGAUUGUGUCUGCGGAUCACGUAUAUGUAAAGAAAGUUGCAGAAUUAGAUCGUAAGGUGGCUGUAGAGAGGCGUCGUCUUGAGGAAGUCCGCGAAGCAGUUUGCAGAAACACGCCAGCCGCUUCCAGGGAUACCAGUCUACAGACAUAUACAACUGUUCCCGAAAAGGAUUCGCAGUGUCAGCAAAGCUUGAUGCAGGAGAACGAAAGGAGAAAAAGCAUUUGCAGGAUGAACAUCCGAUCCGUUUGAGGCGGUCCCACGAUCGGACAAAGAAGACACAUAAGAAAUGAAGAUUUAAGGGGGAUAUGGAAGAUGUAGGUGUAAUUUAAAAAUUUCGUGUUUCCAAAUUUAAUUUUUUAUUAAUUUUACAAUAUUAUUUAUACUUAUUUAAUGUAAUUAAAAAUUUUAAAAGUUCUUAAUAAAUGUAUUAAUAUUAUAUAUGGGUGUCGAUUUAGUAUAAAAC